UUGCUGCUAAGGAUUUUUUGCUGGAUUUGCAGAGCGGAACACUAGACCUUGGUCCAGGCCUGACAGCUCAGAGCUCAAACAAAUCUGGACAUGGUAGUGAUCCAAAUUCUGACGAUGAGCUUGAUGCCGGUGGCAAGAGAAGGAGACAUGGCAGGGGCCCAGUAAGAGAAAACGAUAUGCUUUCUGCUGCACCCAAAGCCCACCCAGUUAGUGCCGAUCCUCGAAGAAUUCAAGCAGAUAUUGAACAAGCACAAGCAGUGGUUCGUAAGCUUGACG
This 276-nucleotide unclassified non-coding RNA is filed under the name Hevea brasiliensis (rubber tree). The record is from RNAcentral. Lineage: Eukaryota; Viridiplantae; Streptophyta; Magnoliopsida; Malpighiales; Euphorbiaceae.